This 69-nucleotide transfer RNA is filed under the name Tilodon sexfasciatus (moonlighter). RNAcentral's name for it is "tRNA-Ala". It matches the Rfam family "tRNA". From Rfam's summary of the family: Transfer RNA (tRNA) molecules are approximately 80 nucleotides in length. Their secondary structure includes four short double-helical elements and three loops (D, anti-codon, and T loops). Further hydrogen bonds mediate the characteristic L-shaped molecular structure. tRNAs have two regions of fundamental functional importance: the anti-codon, which is responsible for specific mRNA codon recognition, and the 3' end, to which the tRNAs corresponding amino acid is attached (by aminoacyl-tRNA synthetases). tRNAs cope with the degeneracy of the genetic code in two manners: having more than one tRNA (with a specific anti-codon) for a particular amino acid; and 'wobble' base-pairing, i.e. permitting non-standard base-pairing at the 3rd anti-codon position. Lineage: Eukaryota; Metazoa; Chordata; Actinopteri; Centrarchiformes; Kyphosidae. The record is from RNAcentral.
AAGGCCUUAGCUUAAUUAAAGUGCCUGCUUUGCAUGCAGGAGAUGUGGGGUAAAAUCCUGCAGGUCUUA